UAUAAAAGUAUAUUCAACGAUCUAUAAUGAUAUUAAUUAUAUAUUAUAAAUAUUAAUAUUCUUUCAUUUAUAAUUGGUUAAAGUAAGAAAAUGUUGACUUCUCUAGAAGCGAGAACGACUUCUAUUCUGGGACAGAGGGAGUAUGAUUUAUUUGAUUUUAGUUGAAUAGAAUUAUAGGUGGAUAAUAAACGUGCUGAAGGCUGGAACUUUGCUCCCUUAACUUUUUUUUUUUUUGAAUCACUUUGCUCCCUUAUCUUAAACGUGCUAAAACAAGUCUGGACUUGAGAAAGUCUAUGGACAAGAGAAACAGAAACGGCCAACUUAGACAGGGGAAAUGGGCCGAACUAGACAGAGGAACUAGCUGCGUUGGGCCAAAUCUAGACGCGACAAAUGGAUCGUCCUGGCCCUGGUUGAGAGCUAGUGGGCCAAAGCUUGACAUGAGAAACGGUCCACUUCCAUCCAGCAACGCGCGCUUCCCGUCGUUCUCGGCUGCGUGCGUGCGCCGUGAGCUCGAUCGAGGAGCGUGUGGAGCGCUGGAGGCUCGAGACGGCCGACGGAUCCAUCGCUGACACGAUCGGCUCGCUCCCGCAGUGACCGCAAGCGGCGUCAUGUUCGUUUAGGUGAUAAGCUAUAACAUACAGUUCGUUAAUUUGUUAUGAGAGAAAAACACUAUUGAAUGACUUACUGAUAAGCUCAAACAAAUAAGAAGACCCUGUUCAUUUUAACUUAUUUGCUAUCAGCGAACAGCUUUCAGCCAUGUCUCGAAACCGCUUGCGUCGGGUGGCGGUUUUGUCUGGGACGACGUAGCUUCAGAGGCUUUCGUCAUGAGCCAUGACAGACAGCUGCUGAAGAUGACAGCAGAUUUUUCAUUUUUGAUUUGUCAAGACAAUCGUGCGUGCAGAAACCUCUCUAACUGUAGUCCAUGCUCGUGUAAUACUGUACAUGUGAAGUGAAGCUGAACAGGACUCACUCGAUGCAGAGACCCUUUGCACGAAUCAAAAAUGGGGCUAAUCAUGGCAUGUAAUACUAAUAUAUACACACAGCUUCAAAGCAGAGCUAACUAUCUAGCAGUAAGCAUACAUGAAUUUUGCAAGUUUGCAACCCUGUUGUUGCUCAGUUCCCUCUCAGAACUUGCCGUCCGCCGCUUGGACAUGGUUGGGACCGCCGUCGCCGCCCGGCACCACGAGCUUGCUGAUGGUCCUCACGAUCUGGCGCUUCAGCUGGCCCCUCUUCAGUGGCGGCCUCUUCUCCUUAGUGCUGCUGUAGCCGCCGCUGCUCAGGAAUAAGUUGACUGCCUUCCAGCUGCAGCCGGGACCGGGUCUCCCGAAGUCACGAGGCCCAUAUGGCAAUAUGUGAACGAGAUCAGCUCGUAAAUACUACUCUAAGUCAAGUAGUCACGGAAUUUGUGCGCCUAAAACCGGUAAACCACGCUGAGGCCCCGGAUUUGUUUAAGCCUGAUGGUGAGCUAGACGUGUGGGUUUCUGAAGCAUCCACGAUUGGAGCAAUCAACAGCCAGACGUCACAUCGAUUAGCACCGGUUUUAAGCUGGGGGCGAUUAUAAUUAGAGGCGAGUUCAUGUACGCUACAUGCUGUGGUGUCCCGGCUGUCUCUCUUUCCGCAGACCGGCGCUUCUUUUUGCUAGCAACUUGCCAAAUAUCUUUUCAGUUCA
Molecule: long non-coding RNA, 1669 nt
Organism: Sorghum bicolor (sorghum)
Lineage: Eukaryota; Viridiplantae; Streptophyta; Magnoliopsida; Poales; Poaceae
Exons: 2
Source: RefSeq, a predicted model, not a curated record